GUGGGGCAGGAAGCAGGCAGGGGCUCUACCCCUGGCCAGGCCCCAGCAACGUGCACCCCAACCGGCCUCGCCCAGCGCUGGCCGGGGAGAUGUGAGCGAUGGGGUGGCAGCAAGCGCCCCGUCCUGGCACCCGACAUUUUCUGUGUCAAAAUGACUUCCAAAGUACUCAAGGACUUUCCACCUCCUAGGUUAGCUAUGGUGACAAAACAACUGCACCGGAGGAAGCGGCACUUCCCAGCUAGUACACCUUCUGCAGUAUGAACCAGGCAGGCAGCGGUCCUGGUUUAUUUUUGUAAAGGCCUAUUGGUUUGUGAGUGCUAUAUAAGGAUUAAACCUGUCUGGGUCCCUGAGCACAAAGCCAUCUGACCAUCAGAAUAGUGUUCCAAGGAGGAGGAAAUUGGCCAUGGCGACAGUUUCAUGCACAGAGCGCUGGGUCUGAGCCAGGCCCUGUGCACGGUGCUUCACGCCAUCCUCACGUCAGCCUGGCCAGGAGGUGUCCCAAUUCCAGCACUGCUUAACGUGAAACUGCUCCUUAAAAGCAAGCAGGCAUAAUUAUAUUCUCUCUUGAACUAAAUUGCCCUCCCCCAGACUAACAAGAAAUGGUUCAAUUAAGUAGAAUGUUACCAACGCGGGACAUGUAACUGACGAAAGGUGCCUUUUCUCCCACAUGAGCGAGAAAAAUCUGGCUCCAAGACAUGUUGAGGAAUUAUGACGAUGAGAUCUGUAUUUUGAUGGACUUCUGGACAAAGUCUAAGUGCGUCUGCCUGCCCUUUUCCAGUCACUUGCUGCAGAGGAGAGGAGUUCAAAACCAGCGGCCUCCUCCAGAGUGGUAUCCGUGUGCAAAGCAGAUGAGGCUUGAGCUAUUCUACUUGGCCUGGGAAGGGUCCCAGCCUCACCCCACUCAGCACCCUCCCUCUCCCACAGCAGCCUUUUGGCCCCCUUUGUGGGACCCUCAUGCUUCCAGAAACCCAGUCUGAAAGCUGAAGACCUACAGAGCACUGGUAGCUCUCUUACCUAUUGUGGUUUUACUUGAGCGUCAAGAGUGAAGCACAGCCCAGAGAGCUACAUGACAGAAUCGUGUAAGACUUGAAAUAAAUGUGUUAUUUACAAUAUCGUAA
This is a non-coding RNA of Microcebus murinus (gray mouse lemur), 1118 nucleotides long. Lineage: Eukaryota; Metazoa; Chordata; Mammalia; Primates; Cheirogaleidae. The record is from RefSeq and is a predicted model, not a curated record.